This is a long non-coding RNA of Alosa sapidissima (American shad), 1683 nucleotides long. RefSeq lists it as uncharacterized. The record is from RefSeq and is a predicted model, not a curated record. NCBI's taxonomy places the organism in Eukaryota, Metazoa, Chordata, Actinopteri, Clupeiformes, Clupeidae. The transcript has 2 exons.
ACUUCUCUCUCUCUCCCUUCCCUUUUCUGCCUGAGCGGAUUGUGGAGGAGCCUGUGCCUUGUCUGGAAUUAUUCAUCAGUUUGAGAUAGACACCAGGAUAGCAUUCAGCCUACGGAGAGUGUUCACACCACACCUGACCCCUCUCUCUCUCUUUCUCUCUCCCUCCUUCGCUUGAUGCCAGGCAGGGGAGGCAACGGAGAAGGGCGAUCCGAACGGCGCUCCCAUCCCCACACAACAAACGGAAUAGUGGUGGAUGGGAACAUUACGCAUUUCUCAUGGAAUCUGAAGGCGUGAACUGAACUCUGCCUCACUGUUCAUAUCCUCAUUUGAACUUGGCGCAGUGUGGUAUCAGCACGUAAAAUCUACGGGUGAGAGCAGCCACAGGUCACAGCUGGACUGCAGCUGGGGAAGCAUCUGGUGCCGCCAGUCUGGCGAUGAUGGGGAGGGUUCCUGGCACCGUGAUUUGGUGGACAAACAUAAACAAAAAUCACAUUGCCAGGGAUUUCCACCCCUUCAUUGCUUUCCAGGUGUGUGUGAGAGGAGGACACUCACUGUUGGCAUCGACGUGUCCUUCUCCCCGAGGCACAUCGCCACACACCCCUCGGACUCUCUUGGACGUCGGAGCAAGUGGCAUGACGAGGACAAAAAGGUUGCGCUGCUCUAAAUGAAUAUGGAGAAGGUCACACAUUUGGAGAUUCGAAAGAUACCAGGCUGAAGCUACGGUCCUAUAAACCCAAGCCCAAAUAGAUCUGUCAGCUGCCAAACACGCUUAUUUGCAUUAUAUGAGAAUUGAAUUUUACAGAUGUGAGAUUUGGGUAAAUAACAAAAUUUAAUCCGUAGGAGUACAGAAUGACUGUGAAAAAGGUCUGGUAUUUCUCAGCGACGGGUACUCCUCACUAGAUUUACUAUUGAAUGAGCGCAAGCUAUUAUGCUGUGCAGCAUAGUGUGGAGUUUAUGGAACAGGCAGCAAAGAUUGUGAUGAGUGCGCAAUGCCUUCCCUCCAUUCACAAAAUAUUACUUUAGCCAGCUCCACAUCACCACCCACAACCCAUCCACAAUCACACUCAACUGUACAGCAUAAGCAGCCGAUCUGUGCAUUACAGCUGGUGUAACACUCUCUCCCCAGUAUCUCUAUAGGUCACAAUACAUCCUAUAACAUCACUUGCUAAAGGCACAGAGCUUAGCUGAUUGGUGAGCAUUGAUCCCUAAAACAUACUGUUCACAGUGGCUAAGUUCAGUGCCUGAAGUGAAAUAGUUGAUAGGAUGUUAAGAGGCCCAGCUGGAGAGCCGUUCGCCUCAUUGUAAAAGAAGAAGGCAGAGUUAAUCACAGGGCUGCAUGAAGCCCACUCACUGAUGUGGGCUCGGCGUCAGCAGCGGCGGGCCGCGCACAUUUCUUAUAAAGACCCAAGGAAUGCUCUGCAAAUGUCAAGCCAGUUGCGGCAUGCAGUGGGCCCGUCCCCUUCAGUCAGUGCCCAGCCUUGAACGAGGCCAUUCAUUUAUGGGGAUAAAAAAGGACACGCCCCACUUUUCCUUUCUGGAGUGUGCAUGGCAUUCUCUGACUAAUGGAUCAAGCUUGAUGCACAGCAGCUUCAUUUUGUGAUGGAGUUGCCUAUUUCUGCUGCACCACCAGUCGCACAAAGACAGUUCAAGACAGAAUAAACAUGCGUAUGUUUUGUAUGCACA